This is a long non-coding RNA of Sorex araneus (European shrew), 692 nucleotides long. RefSeq lists it as uncharacterized. NCBI's taxonomy places the organism in Eukaryota, Metazoa, Chordata, Mammalia, Eulipotyphla, Soricidae. The record is from RefSeq and is a predicted model, not a curated record. The transcript is spliced from 3 exons.
UCUGGGCCACCCACUAUUUCUCCCAUUAUUUCUGGGGAGGAGACUCGCUCCUGCCGGCGGGUGGCUGGAGGGCUGUGGAUAGAGUGGCCGUGACUGAGGGUCUGUGCACCCAAACUCGUCCGUGUCCUUUGGCUCCGGCAGUUUCUCUGGGAGGGUCGAGACUCGGGCCAGCCCGGCCGCGUUCCCCUCAGGCUGAGCGUCUGCGCCGGGCAUCUUCUCCCCGUCUUGCUUCAGCGGCCCCUUUGCUGCGGACCUCCCCCCCGCAGUGAGGCACGGUGAGGGCGUUUGGCUCUUCCCUCACAUUCCAGCCAGGGUCCAGAGAGUGGAGCUGCUUCGGCCAGAGUCAAGCGGGCUUUUUUUCCCCUUCAAAUUUUCCUCGCUGAGGACUGUAACAGAAAGAGGAGAGAAGACACAGAGGGAGAAGAGACAGAGGCAAGAUAGAAGACACAAGAGAAGACACAGAAGCAAGAGGGAAGACACAGAAGCAGAGAGAAGACACAGAAACAGAGACAGGCGAGGUUGAAAGAGACCAGAGGAGAGACUACAGAGACAGAGACAGACAGAAGAGAGCACAGUGGCACACACAGAAGCAGAGCACAAGGAGAAGCCAUCCUGAUCUGAGACCCAUGUGACUGCUCCUGCCGAAACACUGUUAGCUUGCAGCUCCAGAGUGCCCGAGGUGCUGUGCAGAG